This is a long non-coding RNA of Chelonia mydas (Green sea turtle), 180 nucleotides long. RefSeq lists it as uncharacterized. The transcript is spliced from 2 exons. The record is from RefSeq and is a predicted model, not a curated record. Lineage: Eukaryota; Metazoa; Chordata; Testudines; Cheloniidae.
ACUGGAAUGCGUUACGUAGGGAGGUGGUGGAAUCUCCUUCCUUAGAUAUUUUUAAGGCCCGGCUUGAUGAAGUCCUGGCUGGGAUGAUUUAGUUGGGGUUAGUCCUGCUUUGAGGAGAAGGUUGGACUAGAUGUCCUCCUGAGGUCUCUUCCAACUUUAAUCUUCUAUGAUUCUAUGACC